AGGUCUGAGGGAUCCAUCUCCACUCUGAAGUUCCAGCGCACACAGCAGGGGGACUUGGCUGUGUAUCUCUGUGCCAGCAGCUCCGGGGAGCUGUUUUUUGGAGAAGGCUCUAGGCUGACCGUACUGGAGGACCUGAAAAACGUGUUCCCACCCAAGGUCGCUGUGUUUGAGCCAUCAGAAGCAGAGAUCUCCCACACCCAAAAGGCCACACUGGUG
Molecule: long non-coding RNA, 216 nt
Filed under: Homo sapiens (human)
Lineage: Eukaryota; Metazoa; Chordata; Mammalia; Primates; Hominidae
Description: non-protein coding lnc-PRSS2-6:1
Source: RNAcentral